RNAcentral lists this ribosomal RNA (124 nucleotides) under Peromyscus maniculatus bairdii (prairie deer mouse). The record is from RNAcentral. Lineage: Eukaryota; Metazoa; Chordata; Mammalia; Rodentia; Cricetidae.
GGCCAUGGUCAUAUCUCCCUGAAGACAUCCCAUCUCAUCUGUUCUUGGAAGCUAAGUAGAGUCAGGCCAGGUGAAUGCUUGAACAGGAGGGAAUAGUGUAGGACUUUCUGAGAAGCUGUAACCU